UGUCAGUAACACGUUUAACAACCUAUGGAUGGGGAAUAACCUCGGGAAAANACUGAGAAUAAUACCCAAUAGACCACAGUGNCCUGGAAUGGCCUGUGGUUGAAAUGGAUUUAUCGCCGNNUAGGAUAGGACUGCGNGGCCUAUCAGCUUGUGGUGAGGUUAAAANNUGGCCCACAAGCUAAUUAACAGGUACGGCUCUGAGCAAGGAGGGGCCCGGAAUUGGGGUACUGAGACACGGACCCCCAGGCCCUAUGGGGCGCAGCAGGCGAGAAACUUUGCAAAAUUGUGCGAAGCACGAAAGGGUUAAAUCCGAGUGUCUCCUGCUAAAGGAGUCUUUUGUCAGUUGUAGAAUCACUGGUGAAUAAGGGGUGGGCAAGUUCUGGUGUCAGCCGCCGCGGUAAAACCAGCACCUCGAGUGGUCAGGAGGUUUAUUGGGCCUAAAGCAUCCGUAGCGGUUGCAUAAGUUUUCGGUUAAAUCUAUGCGCUUAACGUAUAGGCCGNCGAAAAUACUGUGCAGCUAGGGAGUGGGAGAGGU
This 535-nucleotide ribosomal RNA is filed under the name uncultured archaeon. RNAcentral's name for it is "bacterial SSU rRNA". It matches the Rfam family "Archaeal small subunit ribosomal RNA", at positions 83 to 609 of the family's 1478-position model. The record is from RNAcentral.